RNAcentral lists this transfer-messenger RNA (386 nucleotides) under Anaeroplasmataceae bacterium. It matches the Rfam family "transfer-messenger RNA". From Rfam's summary of the family: Bacterial tmRNA, also known as 10Sa RNA or SsrA, is named for its dual tRNA and mRNA-like properties. Its role is to liberate the mRNA from a stalled ribosome. To accomplish this part of the tmRNA is used as a reading frame that ends in a translation stop signal. RNAcentral also lists the same sequence under 1 other name. Lineage: Bacteria; Bacillati; Mycoplasmatota; Mollicutes; Anaeroplasmatales; Anaeroplasmataceae. The record is from RNAcentral.
GGGGUCGUUUUUGGAUUCGCCGUAGUAAUAAAAGCUAUAUAAGCACGUAGCAGUAGUCUGCUUUAUCAACGUCGAGGUUUAAAUAACCGCAAACAAUUCACAUUUAUUUGCACGCUCUAACAAUAUGAGCGCUGCAUACGCUUGCUAAUUUAACUCAAGCGGCUUUUCUUAUUUGUUUCCUAUAGCAAUUAAGAUAAAGUUUCAAUUCAUAUAGGAUAUAUAAUUUUAAUGCUACUCUAAUUAGAAUUACGAAUUUAAAUAGAGCGUAGUUAGUUUUUGGAUUGUUUAUUUUCUUAGAACUAAUGAAAUUUUUAAAUAAACUAAACGUGUAGAAAGUAUAGUGGAUGUUGCUGCGUACGGGAGUUCGAUUCUCCCCGGCUCCACCA